This 1116-nucleotide long non-coding RNA is filed under the name Calidris pygmaea (Spoon-billed sandpiper). RNAcentral's name for it is "lncRNA (ENSCPGG00000012914.1)". The record is from RNAcentral. Lineage: Eukaryota; Metazoa; Chordata; Aves; Charadriiformes; Scolopacidae.
UUCCAGAGACGGGGGGCAGAGGCAGGAGCCGGCGCCGCCGCCCAUGGGGGCUACAGGGGCGCGCACAUGCCGCGCACACGGCGCAGGGCUAGCCCGCGGUGUCACCUGCUCGCCGGCAGCGCCGGAGCCCCACGCCCUCCGCGGAGGGCCCUCCCGGGGCCGGGCCGGGCCGGGCGGAGCGGCGGGGCCGGGCGGGGCGGCGGGGCUUCCCCGGCGCUCGGCAGCCCAUGUGCCAUGCGGCGUCCCGAGGAGCCGCGCCGUUUAGAGCAGGGGCCGCGGCGGAGGAACACACCCCCCGGCGCCUCACCCCUCCUCAAACUUGCUGACAUUUGAACUCCAUUGGUGCGCGCCGUAUCGCUGCGCCGCGGUGAUCCGUCUCCUCGACGUCAAAUAGUGCCCUGGCCCCGCCGGGCCCCCGCGGCCCCCGAAGCGCGGCGGCGCCCGGGGCGCGGGGCGGGCGGGCUCCGCACACCCCGGGGCGGCCGAGCGGACCGGGGGGCAGAGCGAGCGCGGCCGCCGAGGAUCGCAGCGGAGCGGGGCCCCGGCCGUCCCGCUCCGCUCUCCGCCGCCGGCCCCGGCCCGACGGCGGCCGCCGGCUCCCGCCCUGCCCGGGCUGGACUCGGCGGAGCCCCGGCCUUCCCCGCCCGCCAGCGGCCGACGCCGAAGCAUCGCUACCCGAGGAGCCGCCCGCGGCGGGCGGUGCUAGGGGAUCACCGGGACACCGGCCCGGCUGCACGGCGGACGGGGCCGAGCUCGUCGCGGGUGCAGACACCGGGACAGAGACCGGCGGGCGCCCCUCGGGCGGCUUCGCCGCCCGCGACCCGUGCAGGUGCCCCUCCGCGUACCGGGCGCUCCCCAGAACUGCUCUGCCGCCCGUGGCUCCCACCGAGCGCCCCGCGGCCUCUCCCGCCCCGCGGUGCCUCCCCGCCGCCGCCGCGCCGCCGUGCGGGGCAGCCGCACCGGGAGCGGGGCUCAGCCCGGGCAGAGCCGCCGCCGCCGGGCGCGCUCGGCGGUGACUGAUGCAACCGCGCUCCCUCCCUCGGAAGGACAAAUGUAAGCGAGCCGCAAAGUGUAGUUACUAAUAACAACAACAAUAAAUUGUCGGGCUGUUGCUCA